UUCUUCUCCUCUUCUUCCCUUCUCCUCCCCGACGCCCCACACAUCAACUCCUCUGUUUCCUCCUACACGAAAUAGAGGUGCUGCAGCCCUAGCUGCUGCAGCUAUCUCUCUUUCCUCUCCCUCUUCCCUCUCUUCUUCUUCUUCUUCUUUUCUUCUCUUCUCCCUCUUCUUCCUCUCUUCUUCCUCCUCUCUUCUUUUCCCUCUUCUUCUUCUUUUCUUCUCUUCUCCCUCAACUACUCUUCUCUUCGUCUCCCCACGCCCCACCGCUCUUGCUCUCUGUUUACAGAGAGCGUCGGAGGCGGUGGGAUAAAACCGAAAUUUUUGGUUUUCUUUAUUUUUUUCUUUUU
This 347-nucleotide long non-coding RNA is filed under the name Musa acuminata (dwarf banana). Its description in RNAcentral is "long non-coding RNA (MACU_LNC010824)". The record is from RNAcentral. Lineage: Eukaryota; Viridiplantae; Streptophyta; Magnoliopsida; Zingiberales; Musaceae.